AAGCUGAAUGUGAGAAUUGGAUGGGGCCAAAUCCUGAGCUUCAGAUCUUGCCAUGGCACAAGAUUUGGUUUCCUCCAGUAUCUCACCUUCAACUG
Molecule: microRNA precursor, 95 nt
Filed under: Oryza punctata
Lineage: Eukaryota; Viridiplantae; Streptophyta; Magnoliopsida; Poales; Poaceae
Description: MIR2275 microRNA precursor family
Rfam family: MIR2275 microRNA precursor family
Source: Rfam by way of RNAcentral